Molecule: long non-coding RNA, 948 nt
Filed under: Equus caballus (horse)
Lineage: Eukaryota; Metazoa; Chordata; Mammalia; Perissodactyla; Equidae
Description: lncRNA (ENSECAG00000048006.1)
Source: RNAcentral
GUGGAGUAAUACAACAAGGAGGAGAAGAGCUCCAAGGGGAGGAAACAUAAGUGAGAGAUUAAGUGACAUGUUUUGGAAACAUUGAAUGGUUGGGCCUGGGUGAUUAUAGAGCACCAUUACAGGCCAGGAUGCCAGGCCAGCAGAGAGCUGACCCUGAAGGGCUCUGGAAGCCUUGAUGCGAAAGAAGUUGCAUGCUGAUCUGAAGGUUAUAAGAAGCCAGUGAAGAAUUUCAUCUGGAGGAGUAAGAUGAUCUUAUUUAUUUUAAAAGAUCACACUGCCCUUGAAGUGGACGGUGGACCAACUAUAGCGAGAUUUGGAGAUUAAGAAGCAAAGGAGAUAAACAUGAAUCUCUUCCAGAAGACCCAGGAAAAAUACCAUUGCGACCUGAUGGCUCUGAUUGGGUCACAUAUUCAAGCAUGUAAAGCCCCCCAGGACAUAGUUGUAUAUUCUGGUUGUGAGUGCCUCUGGUUGUGGCAUGUGGGAUGCUGCCUCAGCGUGGCCUGAAGAACGGUACCUUGUCAGCGCCCAGGACCCAAACCGGUGAAACCCUGGGCCGCCCAAGCAGAGUGUGCGAAAACCACUCGGCCAGGGGCCAGCCCUCCAGUUGUAGGUUAUUAAAACUUCCUAGACAUCAGAAUAGUCAUAAUUUGAAAUGCUGGUUUCAAAGAUACCUCCAUUAUUGAUUAAUUAAGAUAUCCUAAACCUACACAGCUUUCCGUCCUUCCCUUUUCCUCAUGUCUGUUAAGGCAGAGGUUGUUCAGAAUUCAGAAAAAACAAAGGAGUAUAGGUCAUGAUGUUGACUUUUCAAAAUAUAACUGGAAUGCUUGCUGGGGUUCCCUGCAUUUUGCAAGAACACAUUAGAUUACCAUUGAUAAAAUAUUUACAUGACUUUUUCUCAAAUUCUGUGAACGUUAUUUAAUAAAGUAGUUAAAAUCCAUUUUAAAUAAA